GAGGAAAGGUAGAGCUCUCAACCCAUUACUAUUCCGUUUUCAAUUUUUUAUUUUCUAGGAACAAAAUCAUUUCUAAUUUUCAUUUGACUAAACCAUUGAGGAUCAGCAGAAGAAGGACGGGUCGAGAACGAAGUUGAAAAUGAACGUGAAGCUUAAUCAUCAAGUUAACUAAGAAGAAUGAUGUUAAUAAGCUUCAGAUCAAGGUCUAUGAGAAGACAUGUCAAAUCGUUCCAUGCUCUCUUCAAGACCUUUGGUUGUGGGUCUGUGGCUUCGUAUCAUGUGUUCAUCUGUAGAAAGUUCACGAAACAUGUUCUUCCACAAUCCAAUCGACAAACCAAAGCCUCUGCCAAGACCUCAUAAUAUCAAAAUAUCUACAGGAAGCAGUCCAUGAUGAUCCAGGGAUCAAUUAGCGUCCACUGGUUGAACACUUUCUAACGCCCCUCAGAUAGGGAGGUAUUUAUGAGCUGAGUUCAUUUGAUGUGACAAAGAGCAAUCAGUAUUUCAAGCUGACUACUGCACCCGUAUCAGUUAGGUUCACUUAGCACACUACCUUGAUAGAGAUCACAGAAACCAUUAACCCUAUACCGGCAGAGGUCUUCCUGUUCCGGAGCUUUGAUCAAGUGUUGUUACUGGCUAACACAAACA
Brassica napus (rape) is the source of this 645-nucleotide long non-coding RNA. RefSeq lists it as uncharacterized. NCBI's taxonomy places the organism in Eukaryota, Viridiplantae, Streptophyta, Magnoliopsida, Brassicales, Brassicaceae. The record is from RefSeq and is a predicted model, not a curated record. The transcript has 3 exons.